GGACCCUUAGCUCAGCAGGUUAGAGCAAAUGACUCAUAAUCAUUAGGUCCACGGUUCGAGCCCGUGAGGGUCCA
Molecule: transfer RNA, 74 nt
Filed under: Sphingomonadales bacterium
Lineage: Bacteria; Pseudomonadati; Pseudomonadota; Alphaproteobacteria; Sphingomonadales
Description: tRNA-Met
Rfam family: tRNA
About the family: Transfer RNA (tRNA) molecules are approximately 80 nucleotides in length.
Source: RNAcentral